GGUUUGAUUAUGGCUCAGAUUGAACGCUGGCGGGAUGCUUUACACAUGCAAGCCUGAACGCAGCGCCAGACCGGUCUGUGGCGAGUAAGAACGGUGAGUAAUGUGUAUCGGAACGUGCCUAGUAGCGGGGGAUAACUACGCGGAAAGCGUAGCCAAUACCGCAUACGCCCUUCGGGGGAAAGCGGGGGACCUUCGGGCCUCGCACCAUUAGGGAGCGGCCGAUAUCGGACGAUGUAGUUGGCGGGUAACGGCUCACCAAGGCGACGAUCCGUAGCUGGUUUGAGAGGACGACCAGCCACACCAAUUGAGACACGGCCCAGACUCCUACGGGAGGCAGCAGUGGGGAAUUUUGGAUAAUGGGGGAAAUCCCCUGAUCCAGCCAUCCUGGCGCAUGAAGGCCUUCGGGUUGUAAAGCACUUUUGGCAGGAAAGAAAACGGCACGGGAUAAUACCCCGUGCAACUGACGGUAUUCUGCAGAAUAAGCACCGCCAACUACGCCAGCAGCCGCGGCAGCGGCAGGUGCGCGUUAAUCGGAAUUAUCAAGUGGUAAGGUGGUGCAGGCGGUUCGGAAAGAAGAUAAUUCCAGAGCUUAACUUUGGAACCAUUUUAACUACUGAGCUAGAGUGUCAGAGGGAGGUGGAAUCUGCGGUAGCAGGAAUGGCAGAUAUGGAGGUCAAUUGAUAUGAAGGCAGCCUCUGGAUAACACUGACGCUCAUGCACCAAAGUGGAGCAACAGGAUUAGAUACCCUGGUAGUCCACGCCCUAAACGAUGUCAACUAUUGUUGGGGCCUCGGGCCUGGCAGCAGCGUUCGCAGCUGACCGUCUGGGGAGUACGGUCGCAAGAUUAAACCUGAAGAAUGAUUGGGACCCUGCUGUGGAUGAUGAUGAUUGUUCUGAUGUUCGCUAAAACCUCUUACCUGCCUUGACAUGUCUGGAAUCCUGAAGAGAUUUGGGAGUGCUCGCAAGAGAACUGAACACAGGUGCUGCAUGGCUGUCGUCACUCGUGUCGUGAGAUGCUGUUAAGUCCAGCAAUCGAGCGUAACCCUUGUCAUUAGUUGCUACGAAAGGGCACCAAUGAGACUGCCGGUGACAAACCGAGGAAGGUGGGGAUGACGUUGUCCCGCUACUCAAGUGGUAGGGCUUCACACGUCAUACAAUGGUCGGGACAGAGGGCCGCCAACUCAUGAGGGGAGCAAUCCCGGGCAGAACCUGAUCAGCCUGGAUCGGCCCGUAAACCUGAAUGCGUGAAGUCGGAACGCUAGUGACUGCGGAUCAGCAUGUCGCGGAAGAACAUGUUCUGGUCCUGUAUUGACACCACUGGGCCGUACCAUGUGGGAGUGGUCACCUAAAGUAGUUAGCCUGACCCGUAAGGCGAGGGCGAUUACUACGGUAGGAUUCAUGACUGGGUAAGUCGUAAUGAAGGUAG
Molecule: ribosomal RNA, 1426 nt
Filed under: uncultured Bordetella sp.
Lineage: Bacteria; Pseudomonadati; Pseudomonadota; Betaproteobacteria; Burkholderiales; Alcaligenaceae
Description: partial 16S-23S ribosomal RNA intergenic spacer
Rfam family: Bacterial small subunit ribosomal RNA
Source: RNAcentral